GCUUAACACAUGCAAGUCGAGCGAGAAUCGUUUUGUUGAAGGCUUCGGUCCGAUGCAGAAUGAGGAAAGCGGCGAACGGGUGAGUAACGCGUGGGCAACCUGGCCUUAAGAAGAGGAUAGCCCCCGGAAACGGGGAGUAAUACUUUAUGAGAAUAGAAAAGGGCAUCCUGUUUCUAUUCAAAGCGCAAGCGCUUAAGGAUGGGCCCGCGUAUCAUUAGCUAGUUGGUGAGAUAACAGCCCACUAAGGCAACGAUGAUUAGCCGGUCUGAGAGGGCGAACGGCCACAUUGGAACUGAGAGACGGUCCAAACUCCUACGGGAGGCAGCAGUGGGGAAUAUUGCGCAAUGGAGAAGAACUCUGACGCAGCAAUACCGCGUGAGCGAAGAAGGUCUUCGGAUCGUAAAGCUCUGUUAUCAGGGAAGAAGAAAAUGACGGUACCUGAUGAGCAAGUCCCGGCUAACUACGUGCCAGCAGCCGCGGUAA
This 483-nucleotide ribosomal RNA is filed under the name uncultured bacterium. Its description in RNAcentral is "partial 16S ribosomal RNA". It matches the Rfam family "Bacterial small subunit ribosomal RNA", at positions 46 to 523 of the family's 1533-position model. The record is from RNAcentral.